UUUACAUGGUGUGACUCUUCGUAGCUCAAAUACAAGACACCAUUAGUUUUUAGCUUUUUACAUAUAGGUUUUUCUUUUUAUUUUUUUAUUAUAAUUUCUCCCAAAAUUGUGGCAUUUGGAGGACUUGGGUCGCAGGGUUGGUAUAGAAAAAUGUGCAUAAAUGAAUAUGUUAGUCAAAUCGUAUCUUGAGAUUGUUCAGGCGAAAUGACGGGCUAUCUUUCCUCAUUAGUUAGCGGUGACUACUGCCUAGGCAUCGACUGAUUAUCUGGAAGUAUAGAGCUUCUACUAACAGAACGCAGGCAGGGGUUUAAAUGUUUUUGCUUGUCAAAUUUUUUUUUUAUUCGUUUUGUUUUUCUUGAACCCCAAAAACAUGUCAUUACAUCAAGCAAGAGAUAGCGGUACAUGUACAUUGUUGAAGCAGUUGCAGCUCAGCUGAAUUUUUCUUUGUACCCUUGAAAAUAAUAAUAAAAAUUAAAAAAAAAGGGAUAAUGGAACUCUCAUAUUGAGUUGAAGAUAGUAAUUCCACUUGAAAGUGAAGCUGGGACGCAUGAUGGAGCUGUGGAUUGUAACAGUUGUCAACAUGUAGCAAGUUGAGGGUGUCCAUUGCAUUACAAUAAUGCUGCAUUGUUGUCCAGUGGUCGGUCGGCCGGCCAGCCGGCCAGUAGGGCGGGAUGUUGAAAUGGAAGUGGCUUCAAUUGACUAUUUAUUCAUCCAUUGUAAUUUUUUCAUAUGUAUGCUUUAGUGACCCCUUCAACUCUUCUUCCACACCCUCCCCUUUUUUCUGGAAAAAUUUUAAAUGGUACCAGCACUAGUGCACUUUCUAAUUAAAAUUAAUAUAUGAA
Molecule: unclassified non-coding RNA, 842 nt
Filed under: Hevea brasiliensis (rubber tree)
Lineage: Eukaryota; Viridiplantae; Streptophyta; Magnoliopsida; Malpighiales; Euphorbiaceae
Source: RNAcentral